GUUCAACUUCAACAUGCACACCAGUGUCAGCAUUGGUUGUUGAUCCUUUUGCAAGUCAAGCAUUAGAAAUAGCUAAAGACUUGAACCUCUUAUCUUUUGUAUAUUUCCCACUUUCUGCCAUGAUAACUUCAUUACACUUCUAUUGUCCGACACUGCAUAAACAAGUUUCAUGUGAAUACAAAGAUCACACUGACCUUAUUCAGAUUCCGGGAUGUCUACCUAUUCUCGGCAAAGAUCUUCCUCCCGAAUUUUUUCAUGAUCGAUCUAGUGUUGCUUACAGUAUUUUUCUUCUACAUUCCAAGAACUUGUCUCUUGCUCAUGGUUUCUUGGCGAAUAGUUUCUCAAAAAUGGAGGCAAGUACAGGGAGAGCCUUGCAGGAGGAGCACAACAAAACCACCAAAUUAGUUUAUAUGGUUGGACCAAUCAUACAAAGUGGUUCAAAUUGUAGUGAAGAGUCAAAUGGGUCAAUCUGUUUGAAGUGGUUGGAGAAUCAAACACCAAACUCAGUUUUGUAUGUGUGCUUUGGAAGUGGAGGAACUUUAUCUCAACAACAAACCAAUGAACUAGCUUUGGGGCUGGAAUUGAGUGGUCAGAAAUUCUUGUGGGUUUUGAGAGAACCUAGUAAAUCUAAAGAUGUAGAUUACAAAAUUGCUUCAAUAGGAAAUGAUGAUUAUGACCUAUUAAAGUACUUACCACAUGGGUUCUUAGAUAGAACCAAAGAACAAGGGUUAGUUGUUCCUCUUUGGGCACCACAAACCAAAAUCCUAAGUCACAAUUCAACAGGUGGAUUUUUAACACAUUGUGGUUGGAAUUCGACGCUUGAGAGUAUUGUGUCCGGAGUGCCAAUGAUAACUUGGCCAUUGUUUGGUGAUCAAAUAAUGAAUGCUAUUUUAAUAGUAGAGGGACUUAAAGUGGGUUUGAAGAUAAAAUUUAAUGAGAAUGGCAUUGCAGAAAGAGAGGAAAUUGCUAAGGUGGUUAGACAUCUAAUGCUCGGAGAAGAACGGAGUGAGAUUCGACAAAGAAUUGAAGAGCUUAAAGAUGAUGCAGCUUGUGCAUUAGCAGAAGAUGGGUCCUCUACAAGAGCACUUUGUGAAUUCGGUACUCGAGUAGCAAACUUUUCGUUAUAAAUGGAAAUUUCAAUUAUCAACGUUUUAUAGGGAAAGCUGUGCAAAGAAGAAAAGAAUCGAGGGAAUAUGUAUUUGUCGAAUAGAAAUCAUGUGAGAGUUUUGGUGUCUAUAAUGUUUGCAUAAUUGCAUUGAAUAAUUUAAUACUUGAUCUAUUAAACUCGAGUUUGUUCGCCACACAACUGCUACUUGCUAUAUCUAUUUUAUUUUCUUACAUUGAAUAAUUUUAUUUUCUUGCAUGAAAAGCUAAAUUAACUCUAUUGGAACCAAAUUAGGUCUGUUUAAUGUUUCAUUUCAAUCUUGUUAUAUGUUUGUAGCGAGUUAGUAACCAUGUCAAAAGAUGUUCAACACUCUGUAACAUUUCUUGGUAACAAUUUGUUGUCCCUUGGAGGACUCAAUCCCAAUGAAACGAAAAGUGUGGUAAUUCUUAUACACCACUUUUAUUUCUUAACACUUACUGCUAUUUUAAGGCAUAUGAUAAAUUUAACAUUGGUUUGGUUAAAUUCAAAGCACAUACAAUUUGCUAACAAGUACGUUCUCACACAAAGAAAAUAGAAUUUGUUGAGAUGUACAUUGUAGACAGGGUCGGACCUGAGCAGGGUAGGGUGUGGCAAUAGCCACACCAGCUCAGGCCCAAGUUUUUUUUUAACAAGUGUUCUCAAACUCUAGUGUUAACCCGUAAACUAGCUCAAGUUUAAGUUUUUAAAUGUGAAUUUAGUAUUAACUCGGCGUUAAACUAGCUCAAGUUUAAGUUUUUAAAUGUGAAUUUAGUAUUAACUCGGCGUUAAACUCGUCCAUUAAGAGUUAUAGGGCUUGGUCCUUGUAGAGGAUAAGGUGAACAAGUAAUUGAAAUAUCCCUUUUUAUUCAUGGAUAUCCAUUAAUUUAUUUGUUUUGUGUCUGUGGUGGAUUUUAUUUGCAAAUAUUCGCAGAUGCGGAUUUUUUGCCAUCCCUACACCCAAUUAAGCUAACAAAUUGAAAUACUUUAGACAACUCAAUUUCUUGUCUGCCAGCAAAUUUAUACAUACAUUUUUCUAUUGAUUUUGAACCUAGAAUUGGUACAUGUGAGCUAUUUACUAAACAGGUUUGGUCCUCUGCCUAGUUCUUGAGCUCGGAUAAGUGUUAUUCGACCAUCAUCUUCUUCAUCCAAAAGUCUUGAUGAUAUUUUCUAGGCAACUUCUUGUUCCAUAGUUCGGAUGGUAUUUCCCCAACAUCUUAUUCUUAUGUCUGGAUGAUAUAUUUUCUUCCCUCAGCUUCAGUAAGCCAAACCUCCCCUCUAAGUUCUCAUACAUGGCUGAGUAAGAGAACUCCCACCCUUAGCAAAAAGCAAGAGAAAAAAAGAAAACCGUCCUUAAAGCUCUCAUGUUUGGUUCAAAGAGGAUCAAGGUCUUCACCUUCAUCAGGCACGCUCCACUUCUAGGCUAGUCGCUGAUGGGAAGUUGCACUACAUUCACCUUCAUCCUAGGGUUCCCUUUGAGGGAAGACAUGAAAAUAUACAUCUUGGUCGAUGCCUUGUUCUUAUAGAAUACAGUGUCAACAACACUAGAGGAGUAAAACAGAUAUCAAGUCACAUAUCCCCUGAGAUGUUGACACAUAUUUUAAAACGAAUUAAGGAGCUCAUUGCUUUCCUAUUUACACAACAAUACUACUAGUCCUAACUAAACUUGCAGGUCAAUGUGCAAAUCAACUGUGUCUAUAAGUUAACUCCUUCAUCAAAAUAACUUUUGGACAAGCUAAAAAAGUGUGCAGUCAACUUAAAGCCUUAAAAAGGACAAUCUACGAUAAUUUCAUUUAACAAAAGCCUACAAAUCAUUCUUCCAUAGCACCAAACUCAAAGACUUCUAAAUCAUUCUUCAACGACUCCAAACUCAAAAGGCCUCCAAAUUAUUCUUCCACAACCCCAAGCGCAAAGGCCUCGAAACCGUUAUUCCACCACCACAAGCUCAAAGCCCUCAAAAUUAAUUUUCCUCGACCCCAAGAUGAAAGGCCUAUAAGCUAUUCUUCUUAAACCCCAAGAUGAAAGGACUCUAAAUCAUUCAUCCACGGCCCUGACAAAGGUACACCAAUACAUUCAUCGACAUCCUAACAAAGGGAAUCAUAUGCAUUCGAGCGUGUUCCCAAGAAUAAACUCUAUCAACGACCCACAAAAAUGGUAUUCGGACCAUCCGACCCCUACAAGUCGACCUAGAAGGCAUUUCAGACAAUUUUAUCAAGAAGAUGUGUAGUACCCGUUUUUUGGAAUCAUUGACACGCAACAAUAAGGUUAGAUCUACAUAAAUUAACAAUCUACCUCUCUUCUUAGUCAACGUUUGACCCCCUAAGGCCUCCAAGAACGAAUUUUUUCAUUAUCAAGGAUACUGGACCCAAAGGGCACAUAUACAACAUGCUUUUAUUUCAAAGACUUGGUCCUGCUAUGAGCCAUCAUUUGACUCCCUCAACUACACUAAUACAUUGAAGAGGGACCCCAAAGGUCGUAGAGAUACAACACACUUUCGGUCCAACGUUUGACGAAAAAACAAGCCAUCACCUUACAUUGUCAACCAACGGCUUCAUAGGAAAUUGUUCCAUACUAAAUCAAGGCCCAAUCGAUAAACGGGUCGGGUCACCCUAAGUCAUUAGCUUAUAAAAGAAUCAACAUAUAGACAAUCCCUAGCAAGAGUCACAUUAGAAGAUGGAGUGGUCAGGACCAUUGAUGGAACAGGUAUCGUCUGAUUCAUUCUAGAGCAAUAAUGGAACAAUGACAUUCUGUUUGAGUGAGAAACACUAAUUGAAUAAGGACAGUCUGAUAAAAAAAAAGAUCAUGAUCUAUCUACAACUAUCUGAAAAGACAAUUGUUCAAGAUUGGAUUUUGGGGUCCAUUAAACCAUAAUCCACCCACUCUAAAGACUAACUAGCAACAUUUUCUAAGGUACACACUUUCUAACCUAAAAAAACCUCUCGCCUACACACUUACUGACUUGAAUAUAUGAGUGUUUGUAGGUACACCCCCACCUCAAGGGCUGAUGACGUGGGUAUAUCCAACCACUACCAUAUGAUGGUCCAAAUAGCCUUUUCCACCAAAUUAUCGUCAUCGUUGGGAAUCUUAGUUCCAUAAUAAUUCCACAUCCACCACUGAUGUCUAAGACAAGGGUUUCAACCACGCUCAACCAUUGAGGCUUAAGGCAUGGGACCUUCCAAGCACUGUCAUCGAAAGGUCCGAUGGACAACCUUCCAUCGUCGUCCAACAUACAAAAUCCGAACAUUUGGUCUUAUUAAUUUUGCACACUUAUAUCAAUAUUAAAAAGUUUAUGAAAAUCUCUAAUCUCAAUUUCUUUUGAUGAAUUACAAUAUUUUUCUCAUGUUGAUGGAACCACUUUUAAUCUUAAAAUUAUAUAUAAAAAUGCGAUGUUUUUGGUUUAUUUAUAGUGUAUUUAAUCUUUAUUAUAAGGUUAAAUAAGUUCUUGAUCCCUAUAAAUUUUUUAAAGUUUCUUUUAAUCUUAAAAUUUUCCAUUAGGUUUUAGUCCCUCAAAGAUUUUUCGUCACCAGUUUUGAUCCGUACUUUUAUGUAAAAUCAUGUGUAUCUUUCAAAAAAAUUAUUCUUUUUUGCAAUCAUGUUUGGUACAUUUUUCUUGUUCAAAAAAAAAAUGUUUGGUACAUUUUUGAAACCUCUUUUAAAUUAUAUUUCUUUACAAAGGAUUAAUUUUUUCUGAAUGCUUAAACAUUCAUAUUUUUCUUAAAAAAUUAUAAAUUUUUGUGCGAGAGAUCGUUUUCAUAUUCUAAUCAUAUCUAAAAAAGUUCACUCAAAGAUUUGAAAGUAAUACAUGAUUUGACUAAAAAAAUAAUAAAAAAUCAUGACGAAAAACAUUUGCAGGACCAAAAUUUAUUGAAAUCUUUUAAAUAUUUAUGGAGACCGAAACUUAUUUCACCCUUUACUAUAUAACAUAGUUCUAUUCACUUUCCACUAUCAAGUUAAUAAAGUUUAACUUUUUUGAGGGAAAAUUUUGACUUUAUUAAUCUUGAAUCUUGAUUUUCAACAUAUAUUUAUCGACAGAAAUUAGAAAUUGAGUCCCAUAACUACAGUUCAGUUGAUAGUUGCAAUGACAAUAUGCGAAUGUCAGGGUUUGAAUCCUGAACUCUUUACUUCUUUAUAUUUAAAAUGUGUGACCUCGACACCAGGUUACUUGACAAACAAAAAAUUGGAAAUAGAAAUUACAAUUUUUUUAAUACCAACAUAUUAAAUCAUGUAUUUUUCAAACAAUGCUUUAUCUUUUUUAUUUCAAUUUUUUUAAAGAUCUUUUCUAUUUCAAAUUCAAUCGUACAUUUUAUAUCUUUAAUAUUGAUUCCCAUUUUUUUCUCAGAUGGAGGGGACACCGACACAGUUAAUUCUUUUACAGAACAAACUCAGUUGAAAACUUCCAAUAAAUCAACAUCCCAAGAAAUCAACCCCAAAAAAUUGUAUCAUCUAAACAAUGCAACAAUCUACAAGACAACAACAGAAAGAACAACAUUGUUGUGAAGGAAACUCAAAUACAACCAAAUCCAAUGAAAUAAAAAUUCCAUUGUAUAUUAUUUGAUUGCCGCUUGUGGCCGGUCUCCAUUAAAAAAAGAAAAUAUAAUAAUAUUGUUAAUUACUAUGACAAUUAUUUGUAGGCACUUCACUACUAUAUGAUUUUUAUAGUAACUUUCUAAACUUUGUGGUUCUUUAUGCUUUUGGCAAGUCAAAUAAAAAUAUCACAUACAACCCUAUAUUAAAAUCUAUGGAUGGCAUGGGGCCUAGUAUUCAAUUGGCUUAAUUGAUCUGUCGGUCUCUUAAUUAUUUCUUUUAUUUAAUUUGGUUCAUAAGUUUUAACUUUCUCAAACACAUCCCUUAACUCAUAUGUCGUUACUCAACGUGGUCCCCUCAAAAUAGAGAUCGUUGGAUAAGGGAGAUCUAUUAGAUCUUAUAGUGUAUCACAAACACUUGAUUUAUUUACUUUCUUCAUGUUCUUCUCCAUCUUCAUCUUCUUCCUCAUCUUCAUCUUCAUUCAUCUUUCAUCAUCUUUAUAAAAUAAAAUAAAAAACCCAACUUUUUUCUUAAAAAUUUAAUCUUAAAUUCUUCUUCUCUCAAAUUAUUUAAAUCCACAUUUCAGCUUGAUCAACAAUAGAAAAUCAUCACAACCCUCUUCCCAACGCAAACACUUCAACUUAUUUUAUUAAUUCAAUCAAUUCCUUAAUCUAGAGAGAAUUUCAAAGCAAAACAAAAUGAAGAGAAAAAAAUUAAAAUAAGCAAAACGAAUAACAGACGGAAGAAGAGUAAGAAUUGCAGAUCUGGUUUUUUUUUCCUUCUUCUUCCCAUGUUACUUCUCUUUCUAAACACUUUCGAUUACACACCCAGCUCUUCCAAGACUGUUCUUCUUAACAACGAAUCACCUAACAACGGAUCUAGAUUUAAAGUUGAUAGCUGAGAAGGAACACGAUCAAAGCUAAUCCUUUAUGGAACAAAAAUUCGAUGAACAGUAACCUGGGUUUGGUGUUUUUUUGUUUUGUUUUAAUUUUGAAACAGCUUAUAUUAAUAGAAGACCUUGCACAAGAAGUGCAAAAGGCCACUGUUACUUACAGGAAGCCAAAACUGGCGCAAACAAAACACCUAAAGCACUGGAAACAACACACUGAAACCUGGCUAACCAACCAAAAAUCUGCUGCUAAAAUACAACUGAUAAUCAGCCGAAAACAACAUAUCAAAAACAGGAAAAAAUCAAUCCUACAGGCCUGGGAAAACCUGUCCAUCAGCGCACUUCACAACAACAAACACCCAGUUUUGGUGUUCUUGUUGUGCGUCAAUACCGACAUUUCGAUUUGAUUUAGCGUUUGAAUUUUGUUAUUGAUUUGGAUUUAGUGUUUGAUUUGGAUUCCACAACUGGAUUUUGUUAUUGAUUUGGAUUUGGAUUCUUCAUCUUUGUUAUUCAUGAUUCUUCUUUUUGUGAACAAUAACCUUUUUGUUUCAAACCGUAAAAAAAAAAAAAAAAAAAACCUUUGUUUCAUGAUUCUUUAUCUUUGAUUUAGAGAUUUUGGGUUUUUUUCGGAUUUUUUUUAUGGGCUUUUUAAAGUUGGGUAGUUUAUUUUAUAAAGAUGAUGAAGGAUGAAUGAAGAUGAAGAUGGGGAAGAAGAUGAAUAUGGAGAAGAACAUGAAGAAAGUAAAUAAAUCAAGUGUUGGUGAUACACUAUAAGAUCUGAUAGAUCUCCCUUAUCCAACGAUCUCUAUUUUGAGGGGACCAUGUUGAUUAACGGAAGAUGAGUUAAGGGAUGUGUUUGAGAAAGUUAAAACUUAUGGGACCAAAUUGAAUAAAAGAAAUAAGUUAAGGAACCGGCAGAUCAAUUAAGCCUAUUCGAUUCUAACAAUUAAUUUUCAUGUGGAAAUUAAAACAAACUUAAAUAUUAUAGUUUGUCUCAAGAGUAUAACAUAUAAUUGCGUAAUAGUCAUUUUGAUUCUUAAAUGUGUAAUAAAUAGUUACAAUAGUCCUUUAAUAUAUUAAAAUUUCAAAAUAAUCACUGAUUUUGCAUUUUGUUAGUCAAAAUAGUCCUUGAAGCUAAAAUAAUAUUUUAAUACUCACAAUAACUCUUUUCGUAAAGGAUUAAAGUGACAAUAAGUAAGUACUUAUAAGGAGUGAUAUGACAAUAAGUAAGUACAUUAAAAGAUAAUAUUACAAUAUUAACAAAUUAUUUUAAUGUAAGGGUGUUAUACCCUAUUUUUGGACCUAAAAAAUACGGGGCCCAAUUACAUUUCAAACUUUGUCAAUUAUCAAAUUUCAACUGCACAGUUCAAAUUGUCUCUGCCUCGCAGUAUUUUCAAUCACAAUUUUACCUAUGUUUUUCUUGCAUAAAACCUUUCGAAAUGUCUUUACUUGUCUUGUAAGUCAUUCAAAAGUGUCUCUGAAUCAUUACAUUGCUUUUUCUACAGUUUAUUUCAAAAUUUGCAAAAAGUCGUACAGAAGGGUAUUUUGGUCAUUUCCUGCAGUGGGACCCAUUUUCAUCCUUGUGACUGUCUCUGAGUCUUUUCAGAUUGAUUUUUAACAUUUCAUCAGUAAACCUUGUUAAAUUCAUUUCAAACUUGCAUCUGAGUCAGUGUCAAGUCAAUUUGAAUCUGUUUAGGUCAUUUUUAGCCCUAGGGGCAUUUUGGUCAUUUCACACAAAAUUUCGGCAUAGAGAGGUUACUUUGAAGUACCUCAUUUAAGCCAUUGGUUCGUUUUAGUCCGUUUUGUCAAUUUUAUUUUUUGUUUCGCUUUACGUUUGGUCAAAUUACGUUUUUUAUUCAAUUUUAUUUUUAAUUGCAUUUUGGUCCCUCAAUUGAGGUCCCAAAAUUGCAUUUUUUGUCCAAACAGUUUUUAAUUUCAUUUCAGUCCUUACUUUCAUUUUCCAGUCCUUUUUUAUUAUUUUUUUUGCAGAAAAGGUCCCAGGGGCAUUUUUGUCCAGAAUUUUCGCACACUUCAGUCUCAGUCCAGAUGGCAUUUUCUCAUUGGCCCACAAAUACACAUGGCAGGCUAUAAAUAGAUGUGUCAGAUCCAAAUAAAAAAAUCAGAAUCAGUCACAUCACAAAAACAGAAAUUUCUUUCUCUCUCCAAAAUCAGUUAGAUCCAAAACAGAAAAUCACCAAAAAAUUCUCCAAGAACACCAAGAACAAAUCUUCACAAAAUCAACAAAUCCGAACCGGAUUCACUCAAAACCAACUCAAAUCAUCACAAAAUCAACAAAUCCGAACCGGAAUCAUUCAAAACCACCGCGAAUCAUCACACCAACACCAAAUCCGUACCGGAUUUUCGAGCAAAAGCGGCACCACCGGAGCAAAUCCGCGCGCGCGCGGCGGAGAGAAGAGGAGGCUCGGAUUUUUUUUUUCCGUUUCACGACGACGGUAACACUUUUUUCCCUCGUUUUCGCGCAUAUACACAUGUGAAAAGUUUGUUACGAAUCAAGAUUUGUAGAUCUAAGCUUGUACGUUCGGAUUUUUGAAAUUUUGAGGCCGGAUUCGGACUCUAGAGCGAAAAGGAUAUCUAGAUCCGUAAGCUUUUUUACAAAAAGAGUGAAAAAAUUCCGAAAGUUCAAGUGUAGAUCUACGACGAAUCUCUCACCCCUUUUUAAAACUAGCACCGGAUUUGAGUAGAGGAGGUGGUGACGGAACUUUUGAUGUAAAAAUUUUGAAAAAAAAAUAAGUUUGAUUUUUCCGGCGCGGUGGCGCCGCCGCCGGAAACCGGCCGGCCGCCGCGCCGGAACCACCACCACCACUCAUGUCCGCCGGCGGGACUUUUAGAGAGAAGGGAGAGCUUCUCUCUCUAAGUUUAACUUAGAGAGAGAAGAGGAAAAUGUUUUGUGAGUUUUUUGUGUAGAAAAUCCUUUUUAUACUCCCUCCGAUCCCACGCGCGCGCGUGCGUGCUCUUGUUGUGUUCCCUCGCUCUGUGAACCAUCAGAUCUGGAUUGUUCCAAGAUCUGAUGGCUGCUGUGUGUUUGAUUUUGAAUCCUGUGCAUGACUUUUUGUGUGGAAUUUGGUAUAUCUUCUGUUUGAACCGUUAGAUCUUUGAUCUAACGGUCACUGUGCUUCCUGCAUUUUACACUAUCUUUUAUGCUUUUUUCUGGACCCUUUGAUCUUUGAUCAAAUGGCUGUGAUGUGAUCUUGAGAGCUUGAUCUGGACCUCUGGAUUCAUCCAACGGUCCAGAUUAAAUCCUGCUGAGUUUUUUUUUAAUUGCUUUUUAAUUGUGUUUUAAAUACCUUUUUUACACUUUCUUGGUGUUUUAUGCUUCUAAAAAAUUUUCUAAAAAUAUUUCCCCAUCAUUUUAAUUUUUCCUCUAAGUAUUAGAAUUUAUUUGCUUAUUUUUGCAUUUAUUUCCUUUACUUUGUUCUUUAAUUUUUGCUCAUUAAAAUUCCAUAUAUGUUCUUGAUGCAUUUUUACAUAUUGUGAUUGAUAAAUUCUCAUGUUUUUACCCCUUUUUAUUGCAUAUUCAUUUGGUGCAUUUUUCAUCAUUCCCAUUAUAUUUUUCCUUGUUUCACUAACAUUUUGUUCCUUAUGUGACUUCACUCAUAGCAUUUCACUAUCUCCUCCACUUUCUUUAGCUUAGCAUUUAUUUUUGCAAAUUUUAAUUCAUUCGGUGAUGUAAUUUGUUAUCAUUGGUUUGUAGCUUGGCAAAGAGGCCAUAGAAUGUAUUUAGGCAAUUUUUGUAAUAUGGACUAUGGACACUAUGGCGCACCGGCACGCACACACUCACCCUAGAUGUAUGCCUAGGAUUGCAUGUGUAGAUGUAUGGCUAGGAUUGCAUGGUUAGAUGAAUGCUUAGGUUUAAACACUUAGAGAAAAUCCAAUUUUUUCCAAAAAAUAUGCAAACAAAUUCGCUUCAAAUAUUUUUCAUAAAAAUGGAGUCAAAACUCCAACAAUUUUUCACCUUUUAUUUUCUUAAUAAAAUUCUCAAAUAAAUCUAAUCAUUUAGACUUUUUUGCAAAAUCACUAAACAAACCCCCACUUUUUCAUACUCUAAUGCUCAUGAAGCCUCUCAAUCCCCUUCUUCAAAAUCAUUUUCAAAAUUUAAAAUCAAACAAUUAAAACAAAAAAAACAACAAGUCUUUUUAGCAAGAACUACGCCGGUUUUGAUCCCGUAAAACGGUACGUAGGCAAGGGACUUUAACCCCUCCAAGCCGAAAUAAAAUCAAAUUCUACUUCUUCUUACCCCCAUUCUUCACUAAUCACACCUUCAUUUUUUUUUACAAAUAGUCUCUAAAAAUAAAGCGCGCGUAUAAGCUUAGAAAGAUGGUUCUCGUGGGAUACUACGAUUGCUAUGGGUGCCUAGCCCCUUCCCAUAGCAAAAACGACCCCGAAUUCGGAAAAUCAAGGGUUUUUCUCCUUUUACCCUUCCCAAGAAAAAAGAGAGAUAUCAACGGUCAAAAGGUUCAAGUCCAAUUAAUGGCUUGGCACCCAAAAACCACGAUAACAAAGGGACUCUUUUGAUUAAUGAAGUACACAAUCAACGACAAUUUUCAAAUUUCGAUACAUUGAUGGACCAUUAUUGCUACUUACCAAAAUGACUAUUACCCUUAUAUAAUUUGAAUGACCAAACCAUAAACCACAAACGAUCAACUGCAAUUUCAUGGCUAAAGGAACUCAUAUAGCAGUAGUUUCAAUUCCUCUAUUUAGCCACCAAAGUUCUAUUAUUGAGUUUUGCAAGAGAUUAAUUCAUCUCCAUCACCACAUUCAUGUCACUUGCAUCUUCCCCACCAUUGAUGCACCAAUCCCUGCCACCCUCAAAUUACUUGAGUCUCUUCCGUCAUCCAUAAAAUGCACUUUCCUCCCUCCAAUAAACAAACAAGACUUACCACAGGAUUUUAUUGGGGAAAACGAUUUGGCGACCGCUCAAUCCAUGCCAUGUCUUCGGAACUUGUUGAGGUUACUUUGUUCAAUUUCAACAUGCACACCAGUGUCAGCAUUGGUUGUUGAUCCUUUUGCAAGUCAAGCAUUAGAAAUAGCUAAAGACUUGAACCUCUUAUCUUUUAUAUACUUCCCACUUUCUGCCAUGAUAACUUCAUUCAACUUGUAUUUUCCGACACUGCAUGAACAAGUUUCAUGUGAAUACAAAGAUCACAUUGAUCCUAUUCAGAUUCCAGGUUGUCUACCUAUUCG
RNAcentral lists this long non-coding RNA (11735 nucleotides) under Medicago truncatula (barrel medic). RNAcentral describes it as "long non-coding RNA (MTRU_LNC005868)". The record is from RNAcentral. Lineage: Eukaryota; Viridiplantae; Streptophyta; Magnoliopsida; Fabales; Fabaceae.